GGAUCCAGACUUUGAUUAUGGCUCAGGACGAACGCUGGCGGCGCGCCUAACACAUGCAAGUCGAGCGGGAAGCUUUUUAAGGAUUCUUCGGAUGAAUUAAAAAGUGGAGAGCGGCGGACGGGUGAGUAACGCGUGAGAAACCUGCCCUAUACAGGGGGAUAGCCAUUGGAAACGAUGAUUAAUACCCCAUAUGACCACAGUAUCGCAUGAUACAGCGGUGAAAACUCCGGUGGUAUAGGAUGGUCUCGCGUCUGAUUAGCUAGUUGGUGGGGUAACGGCCUACCAAGGCGACGAUCAGUAGCCGGCCUGAGAGGGUGACCGGCCACACUGGAACUGAGACACGGUCCAGACUCCUACGGGAGGCAGCAGUGGGGAAUAUUGCACAAUGGGCGAAAGCCUGAUGCAGCGACGCCGCGUGAACGAUGAAGGCUUUCGAGUCGUAAAGUUCUGUUCUUGGGGAAGAUAACGACGGUACCCAAGGAGAAAGCACCGGCUAAAUACGUGCCAGCAGCCGCGG
This 517-nucleotide ribosomal RNA is filed under the name uncultured bacterium. RNAcentral's name for it is "bacterial SSU rRNA". It matches the Rfam family "Bacterial small subunit ribosomal RNA", at positions 1 to 520 of the family's 1533-position model. The record is from RNAcentral.